CACGUAGUUAGCCGUGGCUUCCUCCUUGGCUACCGUCUUCUUUCGUCACCAAGGACAGAGGUUUACAAUCCGAAAACCUUCUUCCCUCACGCGGCGUCGCUGCAUCAGGGUUUCCCCCAUUGUGCAAUAUUCCCCACUGCUGCCUCCCGUAGGAGUCUGGGCCGUGUCUCAGUCCCAAUGUGGCCGUUCAACCUCUCAGUCCGGCUACCGAUCGUCGGCUUGGUAGGCCUUUACCCCACCAACUACCUAAUCGGCCGCGAGCCCAUCUAUCAGCGGAUUGCUCCUUUGCCAACCAGAUGAUGCCAUCCAGUCGGUUAUGCGGUAUUAGCGUUCCUUUUCAGGACGUUACUCCCCCUCUCAUAGGUAGGUUGCUCACGUGUUACUCACCCGUCCGCCACUAAAUUAUCAUCUUCCACCGAAGGCUUCUGUCGAUAAAUUCCCGUUCGACUUGCAUGUGUUAGGCGCGCCGCCAGCGUUCGUCCUGACGCCAGGAUCAAACUCU
This 502-nucleotide ribosomal RNA is filed under the name uncultured Oscillospiraceae bacterium. RNAcentral describes it as "partial 16S ribosomal RNA". Lineage: Bacteria; Bacillati; Bacillota; Clostridia; Eubacteriales; Oscillospiraceae. The record is from RNAcentral.